GUCCGUGCCAUAGCAAUAUUGCACAAGCAUAUUUGAGUUGUGGAAAGAAGAAACCCUCUGGUGGCCUUGGCCCGGGAAUAUGGCGGUUUCAAGUGCAAUGCUGUACUGAAAUGGUACCAGAAGAAGACAGAAGGUUACAUGUCUCCCUCUGAUGCCGAGCCAAAGCUGGACCCUCUGCCUCUCUUUCCACAGUCUCCCUCUGAUGCCGAGCCAAAGCUGGACUGUACUGCUGCCAUCUCAGCUCACUGCAACCUCCCUGCCAGAUUCUCCUGCCUCAGCCUGCCGAGUGCCUGCGAUUGCAGGCGCGCGCCGCCACGCCUGACUGGUUUUCGUAU
RNAcentral lists this long non-coding RNA (335 nucleotides) under Homo sapiens (human). RNAcentral's name for it is "HSALNT0388988". Lineage: Eukaryota; Metazoa; Chordata; Mammalia; Primates; Hominidae. The record is from RNAcentral.